AUGGGUUGGAAAGUCAAGUGCACAUCUUGCGGUACUGAAAGAGUACUUAACAUUAGCUUUGAUAUAGGAAGACAAAAGACUAUUUACAUCUAUUGUAAUGU
RNAcentral lists this small RNA (101 nucleotides) under Acidianus hospitalis W1. Lineage: Archaea; Thermoproteati; Thermoproteota; Thermoprotei; Sulfolobales; Sulfolobaceae. The record is from RNAcentral.